AACCAUACCUCGGGGAGCCUUUGUGUAAGGCUGAGAAUUGGCAAAAGCCAAAAACCCGUUGAACCUGAACCGGUUAGGACCGGCGGAGGGAAGGUGCAUGGAAUACUC
This 108-nucleotide non-coding RNA is filed under the name Pseudorhodobacter antarcticus. Its description in RNAcentral is "TPP sequence". It matches the Rfam family "TPP riboswitch aptamer (THI element)". From Rfam's summary of the family: Vitamin B(1) in its active form thiamin pyrophosphate (TPP) is an essential coenzyme that is synthesised by coupling of pyrimidine and thiazole moieties in bacteria. The previously detected thiamin-regulatory element, thi box was extended, resulting in a new, highly conserved RNA secondary structure, the THI element, which is widely distributed in eubacteria and also occurs in some archaea. Analysis of operon structures identified a large number of new candidate thiamin-regulated genes, mostly transporters, in various prokaryotic organisms. Lineage: Bacteria; Pseudomonadati; Pseudomonadota; Alphaproteobacteria; Rhodobacterales; Paracoccaceae. The record is from Rfam by way of RNAcentral.